Molecule: ribosomal RNA, 848 nt
Filed under: uncultured organism
Description: bacterial SSU rRNA
Rfam family: Bacterial small subunit ribosomal RNA
Source: RNAcentral
UCAGCGGCGAACGGGUGAGUAACACGUGGGUGACCUUCCCCAAAGACGGGGAUAACUCUUGGAAACAGGGGCUAAUACCCGAUGUGCUCAGCAGUUCACUCUGUUGAGUAAAGCUAUGGCGCUUUGGGAUGGGCCCGCGGCCCAUCAGCUAGUUGGUAGGGUAAAGGCCUACCAAGGCUAAGACGGGUAGGGGGCGUGAGAGCGCGAUCCCCCACACUGGCACUGAGACACGGGCCAGACUCCUACGGGAGGCAGCAGUGAGGAAUAUUGCGCAAUGGACGAAAGUCUGACGCAGCGACGCCGCGUGGGCGAUGAAGGCCUUCGGGUCGUAAAGCCCUUUUCUGGGGGAAGAGAAAGGACGGUACCCCAGGAAUAAGCCCCGGCUAACUACGUGCCAGCAGCCGCGGUAAAACGUAGGGGGCAAGCGUUAUCCGGAUUUACUGGGCGUAAAGAGCGUUGAGGCGGUUUUGUAAGUUGGGCGUGAAAGCCCUGGGCUUAACUCAGGGAAGCCGUUCAAUACUGCGAAACUUGAGGGCAGCAGAGGGAGGUGGAAUUCCCGGAGUAGCGGUGAAAUGCGUAGAUAUCGGGAGGAACACCAGUGGCGAAGGCGGCCUCCUGGGCUGCUCCUGACGCUGAAGGCGAAAGCUAGGGGAGCGAACGGGAUUAGAAACCCCGGUAGUCCUAGCCGUAAACGAUGGAUGCUAGGUGUGGGGGGUGUAGAUUCCCUCCGUGCCGCAGUUAACGCGUUAAGCAUCCCGCCUGGGGAGUACGGCCGCAAAGCUAAAACUCAAACGAAUUGACGGGGGCCCGCACAAGCAGCGGAAGCGUGUGGUUAAUUCGAUGCUACA